RNAcentral lists this long non-coding RNA (12039 nucleotides) under Gallus gallus (chicken). Lineage: Eukaryota; Metazoa; Chordata; Aves; Galliformes; Phasianidae. The record is from RNAcentral.
UCUUUUAUUUUUCUUUUUCCUCUUAGUUUUCUUUCCCCCCCUUUUCUUUUGUUUCUCUUUUCCUUUUUUUUUCUUUUUUUCUUUUAUUUUUUCCAUCCUUUCAUUUAUUUUUUCUCUUUUUUCUUUUAUUUUUUCCUUCAUUUUAUUUAUGUAUCCUUUCUUCUUUUCAUUUCUGGUUUUUUCCUUCUUUCAUGCUUUCUUUUCUUUUUUCCCCCUUUCCUUUCUUUUCAUUUUUCCCUUUUCCUUCCCCUUCCCCCCUUUCCUUCCCUUGUUUUAAUUUUCCUUUAUUUCUCUUUCCUGUCUCUUUUCCUCUCCUUUACCUUUUUCUCUUCCCUUACUUCCAUCUAUUCACUUCUCCCACUUCAUUUUCCCUCACUGACUCCACUCCGUUCCUCCCCUCAUUCCCUCACUUCACCAUCACACCCCCCUCCAUCUCUCUUUGCCCCCUCCCCACACCCAGCCCAGCAGCAGCUCCCCCUGGGAUAUCCCCACGUUCCCGGAGACCUUUGGGGUUUCCUCCUGCCUGUUGGGGUGGGGGCAGUGGGUUUUUAAGCCCCCAAAUGCCCAUUUCAGGGGAAACACCUUUGGUUGCACAGUGAUGCUGCGAUGUGCGUCGGUGUAAAGCGGCUCCUGGAAUAGGAGAAGACGAAAGUUGCUCCUGAGUUCGCUGCCUGCAGGGCUGCUGUGGGGAGGCUGCUGCUGGCACGGUGCGAUCUGAGGCUGUGGGAUUUUGGGGUGUGCAGGAGCUCCUCCUCCUGGGAUGGGGACCUGGAUGUGGGAGGGCUGCGGGGGUCGGGAUGUGGGUGCUGGGACGUGGCAUCGGGUGUGGGUGUUGGGGUGCAGACGUUGGGGGAUGUGGAUGUUGUUGGGGAUGCAAAUGUUGAGUUGUGCCGAUGAUGUUGGUGGAGGUGUUGGGAUGCAGGUGAUGCCGGGGGUGCAGAUGUUGGGGGAUGAGGAGGUUAUUGGGGGAUACAGAUGAUGUUGGGAUGCUGAUGUUUGGUGCGGGUGUUGAUGAAUGCAAAUGUUAUUGGGGAUGCAGGUGGUGUUGGGGUACGGAUGAUGUUGGGGUGCAGAUGUGGGGGAAUGCAGAUGUUAUGAGGGGAUGGAGGCAUUGGAGGUUGGAGAUGUCGGUGGUGCAGGUAUGGGGGUGCACGUGUUGGGGAUGUGGAUGACGUUGGGGUGCAGAUGUUGGGAUGCUCAUCUGCUCUGCCAUUGUCAACCGCUUGUUCAAAUUCAGGGCUUUGCAUGCAGCCCUCAGCAGAGCAGCAGUGAGGAAGUGACUGCUGGAGGGGGGACUGGCUGCAGAAGCAAAUCAAUGUGUCUUGGGAUUGGGUUUCUUUGCUCCCACCCCGCUGCCGGCAGUGCGGCCCCAAAUGCCUCCUUUCGCCUCCAGCCUUCACUUCCAAUCUGCAAAACCAAGUGAAAACAACUGCUGCUGCUCCCCGCAGCCCCACGAGCUGCUCUGCACGGUGCAUGGCACAGAGCUGGGGCACUGGGAGGUAGUGUUUUAUCGGGGCAAAAAUAGAAUCCUGAGCUGAAAGCGCGUUGUGCCCUGAUGGGGGACCAGUGGCUGCUUCGUGCAGUGCAGGGUUCAUGGCUGAGACUUAAAUUUGGUGCAGUUUGUUCACCGUGUCCCACCUAAUGAGAAAGCUUGUAGGAAGAGCUUGUUAGGAGGAAUGCAUCCCUGGGAACAGGUGCUUUCUGACUUCACUCCUGCCCACAAGGCUGUCUCACUGGUGUGUCACCAGGGCAGAAGGGGAUGUCUCACUCCGGCUGGUGAUGGAGCGUGGCUUGAGAAUGCUUUUUCCUACAGAUUGAUCUGAACCUGCCCAGUUUUACUGCAAAGUCUUCAUCCGUUUGGGCUGUGCUUUAAAAUAAAGGCUCUUAAGAAACUGGGGUUAGAACUGGAUGAUCUUUAAGGUCACUUCCAAGCUAAAGCAUUCUACAUUACGCUUUCCCCUAAAGAAUAGUGUUGGUCCGUGAGACCCUCCCCAGGCUGUGCUGAUGGCUGGGGGAUGGCUGUCUUCUUGUGAGUUAAUGAAACGUCUGUCAUAGGAAAUUAAUAGGAGAAGGGUUGCAGUAAUGAAAUCAAUCAAUAGGAGAUGCUAACGAGUACUUGCCCAUCCCUAGGGCUGUACCUGGGUGAUCUCGGCAGGAGCCAGCAGUGAGUGAUUCCGGCUCUGUGCAGUGGGUCUGGCCAGGAGGUGGAAGCCAGGAGUGUACAGUUCUGUGUGUAUCUGUGCAAACGAGCCCAUGUCUGUGCAAAUGGCCCCAAAUGUGUAUGCGGGGGGGUUCCUGCAGUGAGAUGCCAGGGACCUUCUGGGAAUUGUUCAGCUGCUCGGGCUGGCUUUGCUCGCUUGAAACCAAACGUGUCCCUGUGAGCCGGAGCAAGGAGGUCACACGUGGGGCUGCAGGGCAGGCAUAAGCACUGUUAUUGAGCAACGGGUGAGGAGAAAGCAAUGAAAUAAUCAGAAAGCCAUUAAACAACACCCUGCAGUGAAGGCGGAGGGUGCUGAGCGCUGCUGCACCUCUGCAGCACCCCAUACCUGGCUGCAAGUUCUGUGUGUGUGUCAGCUCCUGGCAGGGGUUGUGUUGUGCUACAAAAGUCUCUGAUAAAGGUGGUAAAAAAAAAAGAGGUUUUGUGGGUUCCAUGUGGACUUCUGGCCUCGGGCUCUGCCAUCCUGUCCCAGCUUUCAGUGCAUCCCAGCUCUGCCAUCAUUUGGAAAUGCAAGCAUGCGGUGUGUUCCCAGAGCCCAGGGAUUUGCCAGAGAAUCAGAGGUGCUGCUAAAAGCAUGAGGACACAGCAGCACAGUCCUGUUUUUAAACCAUCUCCAUGGGGGAAUCUCAUAGGCCCUGGUCUGGGCCCGGGGGUUGUCCAUGUGUCUGCAGUGGGACUGGGACCAAUACUUUGCAUUUCCAUCACUUUCAGCAUGUUUUCUCCUACUCGGCUGGCGUUACAGAGAGUUCUUGAAGCUGUAAAAGGGAAAACUGAACAAAAAUCCCAACACAAAAAACCCCACAAGCAAUUCUUUUUCCCCCAGCUUUCAUUUUGCAGUUCACCUUUCUUUCUGGACUUGUAAUUUCUGCUGGGGCUUCUGGCUUCCUAAAGAAGGGUGAAAAAGUAAAAAGAAAGCGGGCGUUUAAUAAUACAUCAAAAAUGAGAUUAAGCAGUAAGUCAGCCCUGCCCUACGCUCUCGUUUCCCAAAAAGCAACCAAAUAAAUUGCAAAUUGCCCUGGAAAAGGGGAGUAGAAACAGUGAAGAUCAAACCCAGUAUUAAGAAUAGAUGAGGUGUUUAUAUUUUAUUUAAUGGCUGUACACUGCCACCGUCUCCCAAACCAUCCUAUGAUUCUGUGAAAAGCUGCCCUGCCUCGAAUUGCUGUUUGUGAUGAAUAAAACAGCAGAGCUGAACUGGAAUGGGUGAAAUGCAGCAGGUACUGAGCUCUGCAGGUGGAUGCGGUGCUUGUCAUUAGUGGGUGAUGUUGGUGUUGGCCCUGGUUGGAAGUGGCUUCCAAAAUCCGCAAUGCUUCUUGCUGCUGUCUGUCUCUGGUGGUUUUUGGACCACGUUUGGUGGAGCAGAGAUCUCAAAGGGAAGGAAACCCCACGGAAUGUGCAGAAUGGAGGGGGUGGGCAGAAGUGUUGAAGUGAGCUCAUGGGUGGUUACUCACCAAAGGAGUCUCUCGGCAUGUCUAAGCCUGGAGGAGCGUUCGAUCAAGGCAGAUGCGUGAUGAGACAUGAAUCUCCUGGAAGGGAGGCCUCAGCCUGGCACCAGGUGUUGAGGCCUUCAGCCCCGGGCUUGUUUUUGUUACUGUGAACCUUCUGACUCCUUUGGGCCUUGAUUUUCAGACCUUGGUUUUGGUGAUGCCAUUGAUACCUCUUCACUCAUGGAGAUCCUUGGAGUCUGUGGGGAGCUGCUUUGUCCUGGUUUAUUCCAAAGGCCUCCAGAGCCCGUGUGGGCAUGGUGUAGGUUGACUGCGUGGUCUCAGGGAAUCUCGUUGGGAGGGCUCUUGCACUGUCCCUACAGGAAGCAAGAUGGCAGAGGAGGGGAGUUUCAUUCUGCCCCAGACUGGCUGUUCCUGAGGUCUUGUUUGUACCCAUAACCGCCAAAAUAUCAUCCAGGACAUGAGGUACAGCCAAACUUCUCCAAUAUCAUCCCGGCCAGCACAACAAAUGGAUUGACAUGAUGGGUCAGCAGUUGGACAACGGGUUGGUGGUUGGACAAGAUCAUGGUAGUGGUCUUUUCCAACCCUAAUGAUCCUGUGAUUCUGUGAAUCCAGCCUAGGUUGCACCAUGGAGAUGAAGAUGUACAUGUACAGCUGUAGACCUUUUCCUUGCUAAAUAGCCUACUGUUAAGUUCAGAUGGUCUCACAGCCCCUGUGACUGAAGUGGGGGAGCUUCGUCCUUCACAGCUGGAGGUGGUACAGGCAUGGCAGGGGGAGGAUGAAGGCAGCAAUCCCAUGUGUGGGUCUGGCACACGGGGCUGUGGACAUUCACGAGGGCUGCCGUAGCACGAGAUCUGCCUUCCUGCUGGGAUGCACCAAUCCCACGUGUCAGUACCGUCCUCUCAGGUACUCAUUUGUCUUGUUUGUCACCUCCUUCCUCAUAGCUCAGCACUUUUCAAAUUGAAGGAGGGUCUGUUCCAGCUACAGGGCUGCUGCUCUUCUUGUUUGUUCUCUAAAAGGAAGAAAAUAAGAUGUGCCAGAUCUUAAACUCAGGGGAAAAAAUUACAGAGCUUGGAAUAGCCGCUUGAAGGUAGGAUGAGCCUCAACAAGAAGGUGUUUUUCUUCCACCUUUUUCUGAGGCUGUGUACAUGUAAUGGUGCAGGGAGAAGAUGGGGUAAGGUUUCCUUUGUUUGCACACUGGUGUCUUCCAAACGUUGGGCAGUUGGGAUAUUUUGUUAAAGUUGCUUUGCCAGCUUUGUACGGAGCUGAAAACCUCAGCUUGGUGGAGGUGGGAUGGAGGCAGGGUUGCACUUAUGUUAUCUGCCUGGUUUUCCCGGUGAUGCCUUGAGGCAAACCAGCAAAGUGAGGCCAUGCUGCCCACUGUGUGCAGCUUUGAAGAGCUCUCUCCCUCCAUAUCCCUUUUCCAAGGGCAAGAUCAGAACGAAGAUACGCGAUUGAGUCAGCAGUGCAGAUGCCAUCAAACGUCUGCUUUGUUCCAGUGUAUGAAUUGGAGGGCCAAGUGUCAGAGCCUCAUCUCCUGCAUCACCUGAUAACAGUGCAGUUACCUCCAAGGAAACAAAACAUGGAGGAAUCCCAAAUCCUGGCUGCUGUGAGCACUUAUAACUCAUUGGCACCAGCAGGCCUGAUUUUAUUGCAACUCUUGCAAUAGUGGGUGUGGAUUUCUUUUUUAAAUCCUGCAGACUGUAGCCAAAUUUGCAGAAGUGAUCCAGCAUGUGUAUGCACACAUACAUGAGUAUAUAAAUAGGACUGUUUUCUGGAGCACAAGCCGUUUCAUUAACCCCUGUUAGACCAGUAAGGGCCAUGUGUGCCACCAGCAUGGGUCCUGACUGCUCAUCCUGCAGGCUGUUUAAUGCAGCAUCUGUUGCUUUCUUGGGGAGGAAGGGGAUUAGCUUCAUUUGUCUUUCCAACCGUUCAUUUACCUCCAAACUCAUCUUAAUUUGGAAAUUAAAAUUCCUCUUGGAUGUUCUGUGUAGAAGUGAAGCCCCUUAUCCCCAGAGGUUUUCUGCUGCUUCCUUGACAGGCUUUUCCAUCCCCAUGUGCUGAUUCUGAUGGCACAGACUCAGCGACAGCAUUUCUUCCUAUUCUGGUGCCCUCCACAACGGUGGUUUUGCAUCAGCCCCGGAGCCAUGUCCUCCUGCAGCCCUAUGCCUGCGCCCAGCUUGGGAAGGGCUCAAAAUGGUGCAGUUUAUAUCCUUCUAAACCAGAUAGAGUUGUGGCAUUUUGCACAAAGCUGGCUAUAUUGUCCCGUGGUGACAGAAGGGAGUUGUGUAAAAGGCACUCGUGCUGCUCUGGCAGUGGUGGGGGCAGAGAACAACAAUUUCUCCCAAAUCCUUCUUUUUGCUCAUUCCUUGGGGUCUUAAACUGGACACUACAAAGGGUUGUGGGGAUGAAGAGUAUCUGUGGGGUUCCCCAUCUGUAGAUUUGAGGGAGCACUAGGUCAAACGCCCUGUGCUACAUUACAGAUCUUGCUGCAGCAAUGCAGAGAGCAGACAUCAGUAAUUAGGGAUUGCACAACGAAGUGCUGGAAUGUCUCACACGUGACUGAUGUUUCACACACAGAUGAUGCUGUGCAGAGAUCCAUGUGAAAGUUCUGUGCAGCCUGGCUGGAGAAGGUUGUGCUACCAUCUGAGCCUUUGUAAGAGAAGAGAAUAGGAAGGAAAAAUAAUACUGCAUCCCAAAAGGCUUUGUAUUCUUUAAGGCUCAAGCUUGGGGACUUUAAGGUGCCCCCUAUUAUACGGUGUGUGUAUAAGGAAUUGAUGCACAUUAAUGGUUAUUUUUUCCUCUGCUUCCCACUUCUUCAAAGCCAAGCUGCCUCCUAUGGGGACUCCUAACAUGAGAAAAGAAGUAAACUUCUGGGCUGUGAUGGAGGAUGAGGAAUGUCUGUUCCCUGGGGUCUGAGUCCCUGUGGUCUGAUGGUGAGAGCUCUGGGCCGUGGGCUGACAAAUGCCACUUCUCAGCUGCUUGUUCGCCCUGCAGCAAAUGCAUGCACAGGAUGUAGGCAUCUCCCAGGGACAACGUUCUUACCAGCUCUUAGGUGAAUGUUCUGCACUUUUUCAGAUGCAGUUAAAAAUAAUCAGAAGGCUGGUGGUAUUUUGAACAGCCACCUCGGUGGAAAUGAUGACCUUGGAUCUAUUCAAUCAAAUAUUAUAAAGAUUAAGAGUGAAAAUAGCUGAGCUUGUCAGCCACGAGGAAUUGUCUUGCAGCCCGGGCUCAAAUCCAUCACCUGAAAUCAGGAGGCUCUGGCAGGGUAUUCCUCAUUCAUCAGCAGAAGGCAUCGCAGCGAGAUCAUUCUGCUGCAAUUCAUCAAUUUGUCCAGCUCCUUGAUUAAGCAGGGCUGGGAGAGAGGCAGAAGGUGGGGACAGCGCCCAGUAGCUGUGCGCAGGCAACUGUUGCAUGAACACAUACAAUUUUCACCCUGCAACUGUUAACAAGGUAAUUUGCCUAAUAUUGAAUGUAAUUUUUAAGUGCAGAGUAGUUUAUUAGCUCAGUAUAGGCUGUGUUUGCUACUGAAUUGACUUUCAGGAGCCAAUCGACAGGAGUCUUUCAGCUCCUUGCCUCUUGAUGCUAGCUUGAAGCAUGAGAGAUGGCUUCUGUACUCUUUUGUUGUCUGGAUUAUCUUUGCGGCCCCUCAAACUGCAAUCUCAUGGCUGCAGCCUUCCUGCCUCCAGAUGCCAAGGCAAGCCUGCAAGGGCUGCUUUUCUCAUCACACUUCCAAGCCUUGUUAAAAGCAAAGCAGGGACACCUCCCACCAGCCCAAGCUGCCCAAAGCGCCAUCCAGCCUGGCCUUGAGCGCUGCCAGGCAUGGGGCAGCCACAGCUUCUCUGGACAGCCUGUGCCAGGGCCUCACCACCUUCAUCAUGAAGAAUUUCCUCCUAACAUCUAACCUACAUCUCAUUUCUUUUUGUUUAAAACCGUUCCCUGUUGUCCUAUCACUGUCUGACUAAAAAGUUGUUUUUUAUGAAUGUCUCAUUUUGGACUUUUCCUUAUUCCCGAGUACAUCCAAGUACUGUUUUUUCUCUGAGCAGCUAUACCAGAAUCUUUAGGUUGUCUCACUGAGAGUUCUCUGCUUGGCUCUGCAGCGGCACUCCCUUGUUUUGCCCUUACGAUCGGCAUCCUUGUUGUUUUCUUACUAAGUUACACUCCAUCUCAUCCAAUCUCACCACGCAUGUUUGCACCACCCCUGUCCCUCCUGAACCUGUUGGAAGAUUUCAGCCAAACCUGACGAGGAGAGACAGGUCUGCAGGGCUAAUUAAGAUUGCACAAGUGCAAGAGAAGCAGGCAGAGGGACAGCCCAGGUGCUCACUGAGCCUUGGGAGGGCUGCAGCUCAGCCAGCAUGAGCAGACACUGGGCAGGAAUCGUCAGCUGAAACCAGGUGUAGCCCCUUGUUGCCUGUGGGUGGUGGUCUUCAUUAACAGCAAAAAUUAUUGUGCAUUCCAGUGGGGUGGUGGUUUGGGAUGAACUGGCCCUAGAAGAAACCUGUGGCUCUGUGGGAAGUGGAGCUGCCUGCCUGCUUUUUGUAGAAAGUCAGCCGAAGUCUUCAGGAGGGACUCAGGAUGGUGAGCGCUUCUUUCUAGCGGGGUUUCUUUCAAGCCCAAUUAUUUUCCUUCAACAAAAUCAAGGAGAUGAAGCAGAAGAAAUUGUUAACAGGAGGAUAGAUGUGGUACUUAGGGAUGUGGUUUAGUAGGCAUGGUCAUGAUGGAUGGGUUGGUGGUUGGGCUUGAUGAUCGUGGAGGUCUUUUCCAACCUUAAUGGUUGUGUGAUUCUAUGAUUCUAUGAAAUUAAAGUCAAAUUGUCUCGUGCUGUCCCUUGCACACUUGUGCCGCAGGGGCCUUCUCCUCAUCCACCAUGGGCAAAGCACAUUGAGACUAUACAAACUGGGAUGGAAGGAGAAAAAGAUGAUGAGUCAGCUCUAAUCCUGCCUAUCUGCACUCAGGGAGGCCUGCCUGGUGCUCCUGACAGGUUCUUGCAGAGCAGAUAAUGCAUCAGACCGAUGACAGCCGUAAGAUAUACUGCAAGCGGUCUGAAAAUUGCUGGUAGGUACUUGAAUGUCACUGCCUGCACCGAAUGAAUUGUAGGUUGAGUCGCAACAAUUUCCCUAAAGCUGUGUAUAUUAGCAUACAAAUACCAAAGAUGUGUAAUCUUUGAAUUUUUAUCUGUUUCGGCUUGAGAGGCAAAUAGGCGCAUUAUCAAAGUGCCAUCCAUUUGAGUCAAUUGUCAUCGCUGCAUUGUGAACAGGAUGCAGCUGGGUUUAUUGAUAACAGCAUUAAGGUGCUUAAAAACACAAGUGUGCUGGGUUUAUUCUCCCUUUAGGAACAUAUUGUUGUUUCUCGUGUUUUUUAAAGUCAUUUUUUCAGUUCUCGUCUCCUCUGUAAUAGAGAUGUACUGCAUUUCCAUAUCGUUUUCCCUCCAAGAAUUUGUUGUAAGCCUGAACUUGUUUCAUGGCUUUCUUGAAAAUUUCAAGGUAAUUCCAUUUGCUGGAGGAAAGGCUGGGGAAUGGGCUAAUGAGGAGGCUCUGCUUCUGUCUGCCUUUUUAAUUUUCCCUUGAUUAAAGCCCAGCUGAAAUGCAAGUAAGUGGCCAAAGCUUUCUGCUGAUCUCUGUCAUGCUAUCACUGUGCCCAUUUUAUUUCCUGAGCUGCUCUGCCCAUCAGUUUUGUACCCACUUAAGAAUUCAAUUUCAUAAGUGAGGAUUUGGGUUUUGGGGGAAAUACUUGAGGUUGUGGGCACCUCCCUGCACCAGAGGACCUCAGAGAAACCUCAGAGGAAGCCGUGCCCUGUGACUGGGAGCCCAGCAUUCCUGCCUUCUGCUGAGCUGAUUUUAAAAAUUCCCUUUUAGGAGCUGUGCCCAAUGACUUCAGCAUUUUACCUUUGUUCCCAUCUUUAAGCAGUCCCUGCACCCCAGGAGGUAGUUGUGGGGAUUAGUUGUUGGUUUCGGAGCUCUUUGAAGAUGGAAAGUGGUGUGUAACAGCUCAGUGUUUAUUAAUAGUAGAGCUUAAUAUGGUGAGCAGGAAGUUCAGAUCUGCCGGGAUGGAGCCUCAGCCAUUGAAGUGGGCAUUGCUUCGCUGCUCUGCCUGGCUGAGCCGUUGAUGCCACCCAGUAUCUGGAUGCCCGAGUUGCAUCCCACAGAAAUCCUGGCUGCUCCUAUAGUGAGCUCUCCUUCCCUUGGCCUCCUGCCAUGGCGUACGCCAAGUUAAAUCUGCUUCUGUGUUUUUGGCUUCAUUCCUUCUAAAUGUUUUCAGUGUUGUUGGCUUUAACUGAUCCCAGUGGCAUCUUCAUAUGAUGCUCUGUAUUCAGCUUCUUCUACUGCUUCAAAUAUAAUAACACUCCUAAAGUUCAACCAAUUUUUUAAUUAAAAAAAAAGAGAAAGUGCAGUGUUGUUCUAUCAUACUAUUAAAAAAAAAAAAGAUUUUCCUUCAUCUUGAGUUGGACUCACUGAUCCUUGUGGGUCCCUUCUGAAUCAGGAUAUUCUGUGAUUCUGUGGUCUUUAAAUUGGAAUGAAUUCAAAAUUCAGCAUAGUGGUUGGGGGGAACAUUACUGUAAUUGGAAGGGCAAGUUAUUCUUUUUUCUUGCUCUCUUGGGAUUCGUAUUGGUUAAAGAGGAGUAUUGCCAUUUGUUGGUGAUCUCAGGGUUUCUGAUGAACUCCAGACCAUAGGACUGCCCCAGAGCUGCCCCAAAAGAAUCAAGUGCUCCUGCUUUGCCCAACGUUUAAGACAGGACUGCAAUCAGCAGCCCUGCUCUUCCCACCUACCUUUGCUUGCUGAUGUUGCUCUUCCUUCAGUCUGUUAACAGAAUUGUUGGUAACAGCACUCAGUGUGUAACUGAGUGGUGGAAGCGAUCUGGGUUAAAAAAAAAAAAAAGGUUCAAUGAAAGAGUUUUAGCCACGUUCAUUCUAUUUUAGGACCAGGUUGUCCUUUGUGUGAGAAUAGAAAUUAAUUUUGUUUCAAGUUCUGAAAACCUGAAGACAUGCUGAAUAGAUGAAAUUGUUUCUGUUUAUAGGCUGCAGAAUUCCUUUGUACAAUAAAAGCGUUUUAGUUUAAACUAUGUAUUCAGCACAUUUAGCUUAAUUUUAUUUAACUGCAAGUCUUACAUGCUGUUUUCCUGCAUUCAAAUUGUUUUUUAAGUUUGUAGCAUAAAUCCUAUUUACAAUUAAAAAGUCAGGCUGCUCAUUAAGAAACUUCAUUUACCAUUUUUAACAUAAAAUGCGUUAACUUCCAUAGUUUAUUAAUUUAUACAAAUGCCCAACUGUAGAAGUAGGACAGCUUUCCCGUUAUCCAGAGGCCUGAUUUACAGAGAAAUGAGCCUUUGUUGUUCUCCAGCAGCAAAAGGCAGACUUUAAUUAAGGGGAAAAAAAAGACUAAAAAUACAAAGCAAGACAGGUUAAAUCAAUCACUUAGGAGCAAAGUAUUGCUUGGCAUCCAUAAAUCUUGUCAUCACAGAGGAAAAAGUAGGAUGGCCAAAAAAGGAUUGGCAGAGAAGCUGGCAGUAGUGUUGCUCAAGGACUGGUCUCAGGACUGCCGUUAAGCAUUGUAUUCACAACUGGAGUAGCAGAAAUGACCAUUUUGAGGUUUCAUCAAACCAGGAAUAAUAGAAUCAUAGACUCUUUAAAGUUGGGUUUGGUGAGCUUAGAGAUCUUUUCCAACCUCAAUGGUUCUGUGAUUCUGUGUUCUUUGGUUUAAGAUCUCCUGGAGCCUUUCUGCCCUUCAGCCCGGUCAGAUUCACAAACUUUUCUGCUUGAAUUGAAAGCCUUGCAAACCUACCUUUAUUUUGCUUAAACUGAACCACUUUUAUGGAAAAUGGGCUUGAAUUGAGUUGUCACAAGCAGCUAUUAUUAUAACAGCCUCACUAUUUGCCUGAAAUGUGCAGCAGGAUCACCUUGUGUUUGUUCAGUGCCCAUUUUGUAAAGAAAUCUGUCAGCUAUUACAGUCAGGACGUAGGGCCCCGCUGUUACUAUUUGUUCUUCCUUCUAGAUCUGGAAUUUAAGAUUCCUUUAUCAGCCAGUUCCUAGGAGCACAUCCUUCUCUCUCUAGUCACUUCAACAUGCUCUGUGCACACAUCCAGAUCUGAUGGUGUGGUCUCCAGUGGACCUCUAGCACAAUCUUGGCAGACAGCCUUUUACAGCCUUUUCCCAAAGUGACUUUAAUCCAGAGUGAUCAUUUUAUGCAUGCUAUCGCUUUGGAUUUCCAGCAAGUACAGAUGAUUCACUCAGCUCACAGAAAGAACUGCAGAGCAUUGUCCCAGAAGAUUAUUUAAGUAGAGUUUGGAGAGUGCACAUCUGGGGCUAUGUGUGCAAUGUGCAUGCUCAGGUCUGGCUUUGGUUUGGGGUUUUGAGGGUUCCCUUCCCUUCCCUUCCCUUCCCUUCC